Non-coding RNA from Ameiurus melas (black bullhead), 75 nucleotides. The record is from the annotation of a GenBank genome assembly. Lineage: Eukaryota; Metazoa; Chordata; Actinopteri; Siluriformes; Ictaluridae.
GGCAGUGGUAGUUCAGUGGCUAAAAUAUCGGGCUACUGAUCAGAAUGUGGUGAGUUCAAAUCCCAAAAGUUGCCA